This 396-nucleotide ribosomal RNA is filed under the name uncultured bacterium. RNAcentral describes it as "bacterial SSU rRNA". It matches the Rfam family "Bacterial small subunit ribosomal RNA", at positions 28 to 417 of the family's 1533-position model. The record is from RNAcentral.
GACGAACGCUGGCGGUGUGCUUAACACAUGCAAGUGGAGCGACGAACCAGGGCUUGCCCUGGGGCAGAGCCGCGAACGGGUGAGUAACACGUGGGUAACCUACCCCGAUGACCGGGACAACCCGAGGAAACUCGGGCUAAUACCGGAUGUACCCGACGUUCACGAGAACGUCGUGCAAAGGAAGCUUCGGCCUCCGCAUCGGGAGGGGCCCGCGGCCCAUUAGCUUGUUGGUGGGGUAACGGCCUACCAAGGCUGCGAUGGGUAGCUGGUCUGAGAGGACGAUCAGCCACACUGGGACUGAGACACGGCCCAGACUCCUACGGGAGGCAGCAGUGGGGAAUCUUGCGCAAUGCGCGAAAGCGUGACGCAGCAACACCGCGUGAGGGAAGACGGCCU